UGGGGGAUAUUGCACAAUGGGCGAAAGCCUGAUGCAGCGACGCCGCGUGGGGGAUGAAGGCCUUCGGGUUGUAAACUUCUUUUGCUCUGAACAAGGCAUGCUAAUGGGUGUGUUGAGUGUAGGGGUUGAUUAGCGCCGGCUAACUACGUGCCAGCAGCCGCGGUAAUACGUAGGGCGCGAGCGUUGUCCGGAAUUAUUGGGCGUAAAGGGCUUGUAGGUGGCUGGUUGCGUCUGUCGUGAAAGCUCAUGGCUUAACUGUGGGUUUGCGGUGGGUACGGGCUGGCUUGAGUGCAGUAGGGGAGUCUGGAAUUCCUGGUGUAGCGGUGGAAUGCGCAGAUAUCAGGAGGAAUACCGGUGGCGAAGGCGGGUCUCUGGGCUGUUACUGACACUGAGGAGCGAAAGCAUGGGGAGCGAACAGG
Molecule: ribosomal RNA, 419 nt
Filed under: bacterium
Lineage: Bacteria
Description: partial 16S ribosomal RNA
Rfam family: Bacterial small subunit ribosomal RNA
Source: RNAcentral